AAAAACGCAAUGAUUGGGAGUAGUAAGGAAUAUUUUUUGUUUAGAGAGCUGUCGGCUGGUGAAAGACAGUCAAAGAAUUCCCCAACUCGCCCAGGAGUGGUAAGGCUGAUUGGUAGGCCUUAACGGUUGACCGCCGUAAUCAAGUCAUUAAGUGGGUUCGUUUCGGGUUAAAACGAAUCAAAAAGAGUGGUACCACGUAGGCAAAGCCUGUCGUCUCUUAU
Molecule: non-coding RNA, 221 nt
Filed under: Bacillus sp. (in: firmicutes)
Lineage: Bacteria; Bacillati; Bacillota; Bacilli; Caryophanales; Bacillaceae
Description: Bacillus sp. T-box sequence
Rfam family: T-box leader
About the family: Uncharged tRNA acts as the effector for transcription antitermination of genes in the T-box leader family. T-boxes are found upstream of many aminoacyl-tRNA synthetase genes and some amino acid biosynthetic genes usually in Gram-positive bacteria.
Source: RNAcentral